Molecule: non-coding RNA, 268 nt
Organism: Cinara cedri
Lineage: Eukaryota; Metazoa; Arthropoda; Insecta; Hemiptera; Aphididae
Source: the annotation of a GenBank genome assembly
UUUUUCUUAAAUAAAACUUGUGUAAUAAGGAAUUUUGUAUUCGAAAAUAAUAAAAUUAACCACUUUAUACUAUGUCCUUAUCUCCUUGCAAAAAAAAAAUUGAUCAUUCAUGAACAAAUCAUAAUUUAUCCGAUUAAAUAUUAUUACUGAAAUAAAGUACCUGUUGUUUAUUGAACAAAAAAAUAAAUAAAAUAGUUUUCAUGCAACGAUUAAAAUUUGAAUUUAUGAUUAAAUCCCUUGGAGAAAAUAGCACCAUAAAACAUAGGCC